UGCUUCCAGCUGGGAUAUCCUGAUUGGAAGUCAACUCGGACAGUCAGCGUUGCUCCUUCCUUACCGUCCUCUUAGUGCAAGUUCCUCAAAGAAGACUGUGAUGUGUACACAGGCUGGUUUGCACAUACACAAUGCAUCGAACACAUGAUCUGCUUUGCUCAUCCUGUGUGGCUUUGGGGUCCAAGGGGAGGGGAGAGGAAAGAGGCUGAGAAAAUCGGCAUUUCUUCCUGUCAGGUGAAGGAGAAGUGAUAUUCCACGAAUGUCUAAGGUUGGCUGGCCAGCAGAGUUUGGAUUGUCGAACACAGUUUUUGGCUCUGCCUUUUCAUGGUGGCCAGUUUCACAAAGAGGCUGCAGGAAGCUGCUUCCAGCAGGCUGAGUCCUGAGGAGGAGACGAUAACAGUGGGAGAAGCACCUGGUAACAGCGGCACUUCAUCCAGGAAGAAAACAGGAUCUAAAAUAUAAACAACAUCCUUACAACACAAGACUCUAAACCCCACCCCCCCCUUUUUUUCCCCAUUACACCAUGAGGCCUCUGGACAAGGUGAAGUAACUGACCUUUCAGCUUCUGGUACUGACGAGAGCAUUGCAGAAUAUGAGCAUCUAUCAUGGACCAACCAAUAACUGCAAUAAAAGUGUGAUAGAUGCUCUAUCCCCUGGCAGAUGAUGAGUAUCUUCAAGAUGGUGAGUAUCUUUAAGAUGGUAUCUUUAUCUCUGUAUCACCAGGACCUGCCUAAAAAAACAGGUCCAUAAUAUAGUCUAUAAGAAACUAUUAAAUAAAUGAAUGAGAAAUGGAUAUCAGGAAAGGAAAAAACCAAUUAUCGAUCG
Molecule: long non-coding RNA, 825 nt
Organism: Symphalangus syndactylus (siamang)
Lineage: Eukaryota; Metazoa; Chordata; Mammalia; Primates; Hylobatidae
Source: RefSeq, a predicted model, not a curated record